GAGGAGGUUACUGACAGCGAAUUUCGAUGGGGCCUCUCCACUACCCAGUUAUGGCACCGCCGCACCGGAGGCGGGGGAGCUCCUGCCUAUGGCAGGGGGCAGCGCCACGGGGCAGAUCUGUGCGGCGCAAGGGGCGGCAGAUGCGAAACUGAAGCUUCCCCACAACCUUCGGAGCAGUCAAUUGAGCAGAUGGACACGACACACGACGAGUGAGGAUUGGUGCUGCCGCUCCUGGUAGGACCCCAAUGUCCUGAUCGAGCUACUGUCAUGGAGAGGGCAAUACGUGGAUUUGCUUCAGAUAUUGGAGACAACGCCAUUGUGCCGAAGCUCGGAACAAUAUUCGAUACAUUGGGUGAAGCAUACGAUUUUUACAAUCUGUAUUUAUGGGAGAAAGGAUUUGCCAUUCGAUAUGGUAAAAACUAUCUGAAUGUCGAGAGGACAAAAUGCAUAAAAUAGUGUGUGCCUGUGGGUGGAAAUCUAUUGUGGAUAAUACUAGGUCUUGCCAGCGUUAGUGCCCUACUCUGAUAAGGCUGCUGCGGUCUGAACCAUUCAUUGUCUCGCACGUAUGCGCAGACGAUACACUGGCGAUCGCACAAGCACAUCAACGUGUACAACAGGGAUUUGGUGAAGAAUUUGAGGCAGAGCAAUGUGAACCUUGCUAAAGUGCACAACAUUAGGCAGUUUCUUUGGGUCGAUGGAGAAUGUUCCUUUCACGAAAAGAGCUUUAAGGAACUUGUGUGGCAAAAUAAGCCGCGAGCAAGCGGAUGAUGAUGUUAGUUAAACAAUGGAGGUGUUUGCGGAACUUGGUUCAAAGGAUCCUCACUUCACAUAUCAUGUGCAGGCCGAUAAGGAGGGGAGGGAUAAACGCACUCAUGUGGGCAAAUGGGGACAGUAGGCUGGUGCAAAAAAGAUUAGCUUAUUCUCAAAUUUUCUGUCUCUAAUACUGAAUUUGGUGUGUACCGAUAAAUCAUGUAGCGUGUGAGAUCCAUCAUGCAGUUUAACUGCUAAUCCCAAUUAUGUUAUGCAUGCCCUGAAGCUGAUGAAUUUGUGUUCUCCUA
Aegilops tauschii subsp. strangulata is the source of this 1058-nucleotide long non-coding RNA. RefSeq lists it as uncharacterized. NCBI's taxonomy places the organism in Eukaryota, Viridiplantae, Streptophyta, Magnoliopsida, Poales, Poaceae. The record is from RefSeq and is a predicted model, not a curated record.